Molecule: transfer RNA, 26 nt
Filed under: Fejervarya limnocharis (Boie's wart frog)
Lineage: Eukaryota; Metazoa; Chordata; Amphibia; Anura; Dicroglossidae
Description: partial tRNA-Arg
Source: RNAcentral
AAGGUGCUAGUCCAAUUAAGACAACU